AAGCCUUAAGUUAAAAUUAAAGAAACUAUUAACCUUCAAAGUUAAAAAUAUACAUUAGACUUUGAUAG
RNAcentral lists this transfer RNA (68 nucleotides) under Calophya californica. RNAcentral describes it as "tRNA-Trp". Lineage: Eukaryota; Metazoa; Arthropoda; Insecta; Hemiptera; Calophyidae. The record is from RNAcentral.